UGGGGAAUAUUGCACAAUGGGCGCAAGCCUGAUGCAGCAACGCCGCGUGAACGAUGAAGGUCUUCGGAUCGUAAAGUCCUGUUGCAGGGGAAGAUAAUGACGGUACCCUGUGAGGAAGCCCCGGCUAACUACGUGCCAGCAGCCGCGGUAAUACGUAGGGUGCAAGCGUUAUCCGGAAUUAUUGGGCGUAAAGAGCUUGUAGGCGGUUCGUCGCGUAUGGUGUGAAAGCCCAUCGCUUAACGGUGGGUUUGAGCCGGGUACGGGCGGGCUAGAGUGAAGUAGGAGAGACUGGAAUGCCCGGUGUAACGGUGGAGUGUGUAGAUAUCGAGAAGAACACCAAUGGCGAAGGCAGGUCUCUGAGCAGUUACUGACGCUGAGAAGCGAAAGCGUGGGGAGCGAACGGG
This 404-nucleotide ribosomal RNA is filed under the name Verrucomicrobiota bacterium. RNAcentral's name for it is "Verrucomicrobia bacterium partial 16S ribosomal RNA". It matches the Rfam family "Bacterial small subunit ribosomal RNA", at positions 355 to 776 of the family's 1533-position model. The record is from RNAcentral. Lineage: Bacteria; Pseudomonadati; Verrucomicrobiota.